Molecule: ribosomal RNA, 1722 nt
Filed under: Triticum aestivum (bread wheat)
Lineage: Eukaryota; Viridiplantae; Streptophyta; Magnoliopsida; Poales; Poaceae
Description: partial small subunit ribosomal RNA
Source: RNAcentral
AUGAAGUUCGCUUCCCCGCUCACUCACGACGAGGAGCGGGUCGACGCAUGGUAUGGAGGCGAACCGCUGCGGUACCGUACGAUGGAUAAUGUGCUCGGCGACCAGCCGGUGCCAGGACUGGUGCCACGUGACCUAGAGGCGCAGCUACAGCUCGUGUGUGAAGACGGCGAACCACGGUCCUUUGCAGAGGCCGAGAGAGACGCGGCAUGGCGCGCCGCGAUGAAGUUGGAGAUGGAUGCGGUCGAGCAAAACCGCACCUGGGAGCUUGCUGAUCUCCCUCGAGGUCACCGCGCAAUCACCCUUAAGUGGGUGUUCAAGCUGAAGAGGGAUGGAGCCGGCGCCAUCAUCAAGCACAAGGCUCGUUUGGUGGCCCGAGGCUUCUUGCAGCAGGAAGGAGUCGACUUCGACGACGCUUUCGCUCCCGUGGCACGGAUGGAGUCCGUGCGACUUCUCCUUGCGCUGGCUGCCCAGGAGGGCUGGCGUGUCCACCACAUGGACGUUAAGUCGGCAUUCCUCAACGGCAACUUGAAGGAGGAAGUCUACGUGCAUCAGCCACCGGGGUUUACGAUUCCCGGCCAGGAGGGCAAGGUGCUCCGCCUGCGCAAGGCUCUCUAUGGCCUGCGGCAGGCACCCAGGGCGUGGAACGCCAAGCUGGACUCCACGCUGAAGAAGAUGGGUUUCGAGCAGAGCCCGCAUGAGGCUGCCGUCUACCGACGGGGGAGUGGAGGAAAUGCCCUGCUGGUGGGCGUCUACGUUGACGACCUGGUGAUCACCGGCACCAAAGAUGCAGAGGUGGCGGCGUUCAAGGAAGACAUGAAGGCCACGUUCCAGAUGAGUGACCUGGGGCUCCUCUCCUUCUAUCUAGGGAUUGAGGUGCACCAGGACCACUCCGGGAUCACGCUUCGACAGUCCGCCUACGCCAAGCGCAUCGUUGAGCUAGCUGGGCUCACCGACUGCCAUCCAGCUCUCACUCCGAUGGAGGAGAGGCUGAAACUAAGUCGCGACAGCACGACGGAGGAAGUGGAUGCUACGCAGUACCGACGCCUUGUGGGGAGCCUUCGCUACCUCACUCACACACGGCCGGACUUGGCAUUCUCCGUCGGCUAUGUCAGUCGGUUCAUGGAGCGACCAACGUCGGAACACCAGCAGGCAGUGAAGAGGAUCGUCCGCUACAUAGCAGGGACCCUCGACCACGGCCUCCAUUACCCUAGGUGCCCUGGGGCGGCACACUUCGUCGGGUACAGCGACAGCGACCACGCCGGCGACAUCGACACCAGCAAGAGCACGAGCGGGAUCCUCCUCUUCCUCGGCAAGUGUCUCGUGAGCUGGCAAUCAGUCAAGCAGCAGGUGGUGGCCCUGUCCAGCUGUGAGGCUGAGUACAUAGCGGCCUCCACCGCCUGUACUCAGGCGCUCUGGCUUGCUCGACUGCUUGGUGAUCUUCUCGUUCAAGACACCAGAACGGUGCAGCUCCUGGUGGACAGCAAGUCCGCCCUGGCCCUGGCAAAGAACCCCGUGUUCCACGAACGGAGCAAGCACAUCCGACUGAGGUAUCACUUCAUCCGCAGCUGUGUGGAAGAAGGGAGCAUCGAGGCGAGCUACAUCAACACCAAGGAUCAGCUCGCAGACCUGCUCACCAAGCCCCUUGGGAGGGUCAAGUUCCUCGAACUUUGCUCCAGGAUUGGGAUGAUUCAACUCUCCCACAAGACGACGUACAAGACUUAG